Molecule: ribosomal RNA, 986 nt
Filed under: Klebsiella pneumoniae
Lineage: Bacteria; Pseudomonadati; Pseudomonadota; Gammaproteobacteria; Enterobacterales; Enterobacteriaceae
Description: bacterial LSU rRNA
Rfam family: Bacterial large subunit ribosomal RNA
Source: RNAcentral
ACGGUCCUAAGGUAGCGAAAUUCCUUGUCGGGUAAGUUCCGACCUGCACGAAUGGCGUAAUGAUGGCCAGGCUGUCUCCACCCGAGACUCAGUGAAAUUGAACUCGCUGUGAAGAUGCAGUGUACCCGCGGCAAGACGGAAAGACCCCGUGAACCUUUACUAUAGCUUGACACUGAACAUUGAGCCUUGAUGUGUAGGAUAGGUGGGAGGCUUUGAAGCGUGGACGCCAGUCUGCGUGGAGCCAACCUUGAAAUACCACCCUUUAAUGUUUGAUGUUCUAACGUUGGCCCCUGACCGGGGUUGCGGACAGUGUCUGGUGGGUAGUUUGACUGGGGCGGUCUCCUCCCAAAGCGUAACGGAGGAGCACGAAGGUUAGCUAAUCCUGGUCGGACAUCAGGAGGUUAGUGCAAUGGCAUAAGCUAGCUUGACUGCGAGCGUGACGGCGCGAGCAGGUGCGAAAGCAGGUCAUAGUGAUCCGGUGGUUCUGAAUGGAAGGGCCAUCGCUCAACGGAUAAAAGGUACUCCGGGGAUAACAGGCUGAUACCGCCCAAGAGUUCAUAUCGACGGCGGUGUUUGGCACCUCGAUGUCGGCUCAUCACAUCCUGGGGCUGAAGUAGGUCCCAAGGGUAUGGCUGUUCGCCAUUUAAAGUGGUACGCGAGCUGGGUUUAGAACGUCGUGAGACAGUUCGGUCCCUAUCUGCCGUGGGCGCUGGAGAAUUGAGGGGGGCUGCUCCUAGUACGAGAGGACCGGAGUGGACGCAUCACUGGUGUUCGGGUUGUCAUGCCAAUGGCACUGCCCGGUAGCUAAAUGCGGAAGAGAUAAGUGCUGAAAGCAUCUAAGCACGAAACUUGCCCCGAGAUGAGUUCUCCCUGAGACUAUAAGUCUCCUGAAGGAACGUUGAAGACGACGACGUUGAUAGGCCGGGUGUGUAAGCGCAGCGAUGCGUUGAGCUAACCGGUACUAAUGAACCGUGAGGCUUAACCUU